RNAcentral lists this ribosomal RNA (244 nucleotides) under Achlys triphylla (vanilla leaf). Its description in RNAcentral is "partial 5.8S ribosomal RNA". Lineage: Eukaryota; Viridiplantae; Streptophyta; Magnoliopsida; Ranunculales; Berberidaceae. The record is from RNAcentral.
ACAGCGUUGCUCUCACCACAAUAUCUUUGAGUCUUUUAUCAGACAAGAAGACUUGCGGUCGGGAAGCGGAUAUUGGCCCCCCGUACCUUUGUAGGCGCGGUCGGCCUAAAAUUUGGCUCUCGACGAUGAGCGUCACGAUCAGUGGUGGUUGAAUAACCCCUUUGUCAUAGACCGGUAUCGUGUUGUUUUGUCGUCUAAUUGGGCCAUACGGACCCUUGUGUGUUGUAUAUACGACAUUCACUCU